Molecule: unclassified non-coding RNA, 368 nt
Filed under: uncultured fungus
Lineage: Eukaryota; Fungi
Description: sequence contains ITS1
Rfam family: 5.8S ribosomal RNA (bases 1-99)
Source: RNAcentral
UAAAGUGCGAUAUGUAGUGCGAUUUGCAUGAAUCUGUGAGUCAUCUAAUCUUUGAACGCAACUUGCGCCUCUUUUAGAGGCAUGUCUGUUUGAGUGCCAUAAAACAUGUAUUAAUAUAAGGUGUGUGAAUGCCAAAUAUGAAUACGAAUUUGAUCAUGUCUCUGGACUUGAUUUAAAUAAAUUCAGUCAAUGUCAUGCAUAAUUUUAGCACGAGUGCUAAGCAUUCUUGGGUUAACAAUCGUGUAUGGCACUUUGGAGGUGGUGGCGUAUGGGUAUGUGGGGGUUUCUCCCAUAAAUCUUAUUACCUCACUUUUCUCCCUUUUUAUAUAAAAGGCCUCAAAUCAGUCAAGAUUACCCGCUGAACUUAA